CUUAGCAAACUGCAUGGACAAAAGUGGAAGUAACAAUGUUUUACUUCAAAUUGGAAGACACCCAAAAAUUGGCCUCAAAAGUACCUAAGAUAAAGCCUAAUUUGGCCUCAACAUUUCUACUCUCUCCCUAAAACACUAUCACAGUAGUAAUGUAGUGAAGUAUAAUCGAAAAAGUGAUUACGACAGAUGGUCCUAUCAGCAAGAACUUCGUUCCUGCACUGCACUGAACAUUCGCUCCGCUAGAACAGCUGCUUCUCUGCGCAAUCCCGCUUCCACCUUCGAGCACGAAAGUCGAGUGAGUUCUCCCGCUGCUAAACAAAACACACCAGAAGAAUGCCCCAUGACGCGCUGUGUUAAACCCCACUCCAACUUCAGUGUGCUCUUUGCUGUGGAGAAGAGAGAGUGUUCUCUUGUCC
Molecule: long non-coding RNA, 416 nt
Filed under: Ananas comosus (pineapple)
Lineage: Eukaryota; Viridiplantae; Streptophyta; Magnoliopsida; Poales; Bromeliaceae
Description: long non-coding RNA (ACOM_LNC041293)
Source: RNAcentral